Molecule: ribosomal RNA, 748 nt
Filed under: uncultured cyanobacterium
Lineage: Bacteria; Bacillati; Cyanobacteriota
Description: bacterial SSU rRNA
Rfam family: Bacterial small subunit ribosomal RNA
Source: RNAcentral
GCUUAGAGUUUGAUCCUGGCUCAGGAUGAACGCUGGCGGUAUGCUUAACACAUGCAAGUCGAACGGAGUACUUCGGUACUUAGUGGCGGACGGGUGAGUAACGCGUGAGAAUCUGCCUUCAGGAUGGGGAUAACAGUGGGAAACCAUUGCUAAUACCCAAUGAGCCGAGAGGUAAAAAAUUUAUUGCCUGAAGAGGGGCUCGCGUCCGAUUAGUUAGUUGGUGGGGUAAAGGCUUACCAAGACGGCGAUCGGUAGCUGGUCUGAGAGGAUGAGCAGCCACACUGGGACUGAGACACGGCCCAGACUCCUACGGGAGGCAGCAGUGGGGAAUUUUCCGCAAUGGGCGAAAGCCUGACGGAGCAAUACCGCGUGAGGGAGGAAGGCCUUUGGGUUGUAAACCUCUUUUCUUAAGGAAGAAGAUCUGACGGUACUUAAGGAAUCAGCAUCGGCUAACUCCGUGCCAGCAGCCGCGGUAAUACGGAGGAUGCAAGCGUUAUCCGGAAUUAUUGGGCGUAAAGCGUCCGCAGGCGGCACUAUAAGUCUGCUGUCAAAGACCGCAGCUCAACUGCGGAAAGGCAGUGGAAACUGUAGAGCUGGAGUACGGUAGGGGUAGAGGGAAUUCCCAGUGUAGCGGUGAAAUGCGUAGAGAUUGGGAAGAACACCAGUGGCGAAGGCGCUCUACUGGGCCGUAACUGACGCUCAGGGACGAAAGCUAGGGGAGCGAAAGGGAUUAGAUACCCCUGUAGUC